GCCAGUCAUGGUGGCACAUGCCUGUGCUCCCAGCUACUCAGGAGGCUGAGGUGGGAGGAUCACCUGAGCCAAGGAGAUCGAGACUGCAGUGACCUGUGAUCACACCACUGCACUCCAGCCUGGGUGACAGAGCAAUGAGACCUUGGCUCAUAAAAACAAAAAAGGCUGGGCACAGUGGCUCACGCCUGUAAUCCCAGAAUUUUGGGAGGCCGAGGUGGGCAGAUCACAAGGUCAGGAUGUUCAAGACCAGCCUGGCCAACAUGGUGAAACCCCGUCUCU
This 279-nucleotide small RNA is filed under the name Nomascus leucogenys (northern white-cheeked gibbon). RNAcentral describes it as "Metazoan signal recognition particle RNA (ENSNLEG00000035549.1)". The record is from RNAcentral. Lineage: Eukaryota; Metazoa; Chordata; Mammalia; Primates; Hylobatidae.